Molecule: ribosomal RNA, 458 nt
Filed under: uncultured bacterium
Lineage: Bacteria
Description: partial 16S ribosomal RNA
Rfam family: Bacterial small subunit ribosomal RNA
Source: RNAcentral
CUACGGGGUGCUCCAGUAGGGAAUAUUGGGCAAUGGACGCAAGUCUGACCCAGCCAUGCCGCGUGCAGGAUGAAGGCGUUAUGCGUUGUAAACUGCUUUUAUACAGGAAGAAACGACUCUUGCGAGAGGCAUUGACGGUACUGUAUGAAUAAGCACCGGCUAACUCCGUGCCAGCAGCCGCGGUAAUACGGAGGGUGCAAGCGUUGUCCGGAUUUAUUGGGUUUAAAGGGUGCGCAGGUGGUUUAUUAAGUCAGUGGUGAAAGACGGUCGCUCAACGAUUGCAGUGCCAUUGAAACUGGUAGACUUGAGUAAAGUAGAGGUGGGCGGAAUUGAUAGUGUAGCGGUGAAAUGCAUAGAUAUUAUCAAGAACUCCAAUUGCGUGGGCAGCUCACUUGGCUUUUACUGACACUCAUGCACGAAAGUGUGGGUAUCAAACAGGAUUAGAUACCCGCGUAGUC